RNAcentral lists this long non-coding RNA (296 nucleotides) under Linum usitatissimum (flax). RNAcentral describes it as "long non-coding RNA (LUSI_LNC000902)". Lineage: Eukaryota; Viridiplantae; Streptophyta; Magnoliopsida; Malpighiales; Linaceae. The record is from RNAcentral.
GGAACAGUACGGCGAGCUCUUGGUGGAUCAGAAGGCAUCUCCUCUAUCCACGUUUCUACUGCCUCCUGAGAGCCAUCUUCAUGCCAAACUCCCUGGGUUUCCUGUGGACGACCUGGUUCAUUAUGUACAUUACCAGGUGUUUCCUCGAGCCAACUUCGAUCCACUGGUUCAGCAUCAGCACUGCCACCUCUCCAUUCAUUGAAAGGACCAUAAUCUGAUUGUUGCCAGUUUCCUCCACUGUUGUCCGUAAGUUCUUCCUGCCAACCACGAACCUGAUUAACAGUUUCCUGCCAAUU